UACGAAGGGGGCGAGCGUUGUUCGGAAUUACUGGGCGUAAAGGGCGCGCAGGCGGCCUUAGAAGUCAGAUGUGAAAGCCCCGGGCUCAACCUGGGAAUGGCAUUUGAUACUCUGAGGCUGGAGUACGGGAGAGGAGAGUGGAAUUCCCAGUGUAGAGGUGAAAUUCGUAGAUAUUGGGAAGAACACCGGGUGGCGAAGGCGGCUCUCUGGACCGUAACUGACGCUGAGGCGCGAAAGCGUGGGGAGCAAACAGGG
RNAcentral lists this ribosomal RNA (255 nucleotides) under uncultured bacterium. RNAcentral's name for it is "partial 16S ribosomal RNA". It matches the Rfam family "Bacterial small subunit ribosomal RNA", at positions 524 to 777 of the family's 1533-position model. The record is from RNAcentral.